Molecule: ribosomal RNA, 460 nt
Filed under: uncultured bacterium
Lineage: Bacteria
Description: partial 16S ribosomal RNA
Rfam family: Bacterial small subunit ribosomal RNA
Source: RNAcentral
CCUACGGGAGGCAGCAGUGAGGAAUAUUGGUCAAUGGGCGCGAGCCUGAACCAGCCAAGUAGCGUGAAGGAUGACUGCCCUACGGGUUGUAAACUUCUUUUAUAAAGGAAUAAAGUGAGGCACGUGUGCCUUUUUGUAUGUACUUUAUGAAUAAGGAUCGGCUAACUCCGUGCCAGCAGCCGCGGUAAUACGGAGGAUCCGAGCGUUAUCCGGAUUUAUUGGGUUUAAAGGGAGCGUAGGCGGCCUUUUAAGUCAGCGGUGAAAGUCUGUGGCUCAACCAUAGAAUUGCCGUUGAAACUGGGGGGCUUGAGUAUGUUUGAGGCAGGCGGAAGGCGGGGUGUAGCGGUGAAAUGCUUAGAUAUCACGCAGAACCCCGAUUGCGAAGGCAGCCUGCCAAGCCAUGACUGACGCUGAUGCACGAAAGCGUGGGGAUCAAACAGGAUUAGAUACCCCGGUAGUC